AGCUCCCGCACAGCCUGCAUCCUGAAAGGCUGGUCUCACUCCUACUGUGCCCCUGCAGCAGCACCAAGUAUAUUUCCAGGCAACUGGUGAGCAGGGCUGAGGACUUGCCACAGACCACAAGUCUCCCAGCUGAGAAAGUACAGCUCCUCAGCUGUCCCACAGAGCCUGCAGUGGCAAUCCACCUCCUUCAAAAUUCUGUGAAUUCUCUCAGCUUUCCUGGAAAGGCAAGAUGCUGACACCUUGAUCUUGGACCUCAAGCUUUCUGAAUUGUGAUAAAUAGAUGUUUAUAAUAAAGCCACCCAGUCUGUGGUAUCUUGUUAUGAUAGCUGGACCUGACUAAUACACAGGGCAUGUGGCAAGUUUAAGGGGAAGAUGUCUUUCUGAAACAUUUGAAUCAAUCAGAAGUUCUUUUGGAACAACUAAGGAAAGAUGUCAGCUUGCUGCCUCACAAUGCUGUUUGAUGACACUGGCUUAGAAAAUAGAAAACAGAUUUUUCUUUUCUCCAAAGAAAUAGAAAACUUUCCUCUAUACUCCAAGGGAUAUACAGGAAGAAUAGAAAUAUGAAUUUGAACUAUGACUAAGAGUCAGCAUGUACUUUCCUUUCUCUGGAAAAAGAAAAGAAAAAAGCUGGAGAAGUAAAGCUCAGAAGCACGGGUAUGGCUGAGUUAAGUAGACUACAUAAAAAAUAAACACUGUCAACAAUCUUAUAGAGAAAA
This is a long non-coding RNA of Symphalangus syndactylus (siamang), 716 nucleotides long. RefSeq lists it as uncharacterized. NCBI's taxonomy places the organism in Eukaryota, Metazoa, Chordata, Mammalia, Primates, Hylobatidae. The record is from RefSeq and is a predicted model, not a curated record.